Long non-coding RNA from Patiria miniata (bat star), 2063 nucleotides. RefSeq lists it as uncharacterized. The record is from RefSeq and is a predicted model, not a curated record. The transcript has 8 exons. NCBI's taxonomy places the organism in Eukaryota, Metazoa, Echinodermata, Asteroidea, Valvatida, Asterinidae.
UGUUGAGAAAUACAAGCAUUUUUUGGCAAAACAAUUUUUUGCCCCCCACUAGAAAAAAUCCUGGCGACGCCCAUGAGGGAAAGUAGCGAUGAACCAACAACUUCAGGGGAAUCCAAUCGUCCAAUCCAAGAAAAAAUCCUGGCAACGCCCAUGAGGGAAAGUAGCGAUGAACCAACAACUUCAGGGGAAUCCAAUCGUCCAAUCCAAGUUAUUUUGUUAUUGCAGUUUAAACCCCUCCCCCUCCCCACUGGAGAUGAGAGGCUGUAGAGGAAUUUGUUGUGGUGACAAUGAAUCAUUCUAAUCAAAGUCAGUAUGGGCUCUGAGAAACACGCAGGAGACAAGGUCUGCCGCAGUCAUUGUUAGCAAGAACUACCAGUUUAAUAAGGUGGACUACACAGACAGCACGAUAGCCUUGCAGAGGAGAGCGUUUCUCACGAGUGGAUUUACAACUGACUGACCAAUCAACCUUCAUCAGAACUUUUUGAAGUAGUGGUGGUGGGAAAGUGGUGGGAAAGCUAGGUUUUCAGGGAGGUUGCUGACAGCCAGGUGAUGACCAGCAUCUUUCACCAGUAGUCUCCUGGUCUUCCACUGCAUCUCCAAUUUCUUGCCACCACAGACGGAUGUUUCAGUGACGUAGUUUUGCUCCAACCUCUCUGCCAUCUGCCAUGCGAUGGGCGCUAGAGCACAUCCCGUUGAGGAAGUCGGUAGCUAGGGGUGGAGGAACAAAGCUCAAGUUAACAACGCUGAUGUUUAAUGGUAGCUACUAGAGAUCCUGGAUGCUGACUCUGCCUAGACAGGACCUGAGAGACUUUGUCCUUCUUGCAAGUCAUCGGAAGCCUGCUAUCAGAACCACAAGAAGAGGAACACAUGUUUCAGGUUUUCCUGCUUUUACCAAGAAGACGUUGCUCUUGAUGCUGGAAUGCCCUGAAACUGCACCACUUUGUGAUGACAUCAAACAUCAGAGAAACUACAUCCAAGGUGCCUUGGGCCUAUUUAGAAUGUACUAGGCUGUUAAAUGAGAAAAAAGUUAUAUGGGCAAUUCCAUGCUGGUGGAGACACAAGACCAAACAAUUAUUUCACGGUUUGCUCAAGUUUGAUUUGCUGAAGUGACACAAUAUAGCUUGGCGUUUUUAAAACUGAAUAGUUUCGUCCCAUGCGCGCACUAUUUUGUGAGUUACGGUACACCAUCACAUCAAAGUCUGCAAUGACGUCAUGAUGACUUAUGGAUGCACUGGUAAGGAAUUUUGAAUUUUAAUAGUCUUUUGCUAUCUAUUCAUUAAUAUUUUCUCUCAAUAUUUUGUUACCAUUUUUUAGGGUGUCUUUGUGAAAAUGGAUAUUAUUUUUAAGUUGCUAAUUUUCGUCAGACUUUGCUUGUAAAAUGAGAUACAAAUUUAGUUAUUUAUAAUUAACCAAAACAGAUCUUUUUUUCUUUGUAAAUACAUGUACCUACAUUUUUUGCCUAAUGAAUAAUUAUGUUAAAAGUUUCUUAGCUUGAGUUCUGAUAAGAAUAUUAGCAUUUUGUUUACAUUGUAGUUCUAAUGCUUAGGCCAGCCAUGAAAUAUUGUAAUGUCGGCCACAUGUAAUGUCAUGCAGUCACAAUCUCUUAGCGUAACGUAAUGCCAGUCACAUUGCACAGUCCGUAGUUGAAGAAAAUACAAGUACACACGUUAUUUGAGUCCAUACACAUACAAAUAGUCAACUCUUUGAACCAAAAUGCAACUGAGUGCCAAGCCACUGUCUGAGCAACAUAUAUGACUAUAUUUUUCACAAAACAAGUCUUUUUAAAAUUUUAUUUGGAAAUCUGUAAUCCUUUGAUAAAAUGUAAAAUAUAUUUGUUUUGCUUUUGGGCACAAGUGGUCUAUCAUUGUCCAUUCUGAUGGGGUAGGGUGGGGUGGGGGAAGUCUUCCCUGUGAGAACUGAAUUAUUGUUUGGCACCAAAUAGUUUGAUAUUCAUAAUUCCCUGUUUAUUACUAAACAUUGGCUAACUUAUCUUGUUCGUUUUGUUGUUGGUUCAUUUGAUAACUUUGGUAUUGCUAGAAAAAUAUCAAGUAAAAUUGUGUUAA